UGGAUCCUGCAAGGCGUAUCGCUUCUUUUUUUUUCCUCUUCGAACCACGGACGAGAGGGCACGGGCGGGGGCGGGAGGACACUCUUGGCGCCCCACCGCCUCCUUCUCUCUAUGUGUGUUUGCGUUCCAUCUUGCUUUGCUUUGUCUUCUCCCCCCCACCCUCCUUGACGCCGUCUCCGCCGCGCACGCGUGCGCACGUCUGCCCACACGGGAGAGAGAGGUGGAUAAUCACCGCUUUCUUCUUCGUUUCGUUACACUUGACGGCUCCACGCCUGUCUGUUGAGGUCGAGUGAGGGAGAGGGAGGGGGUGGGUGGGGCGUCGUGGGCAGACAACCCGCCGACAGCUUCGUUACAGUAUACUCAAUUGAAGCACAAGCCUUUCAGACGGAGAGCUGUUUGCAUCCUUUUCCUUGUUUUCUGCUGUGCCUUCUCUCUUCUGGGCCACCUUUCAGCGCCGCGACAACCCCUUUUUCUGUGCGCUGUGAUUUCCUCCGUGAUCUUCGGCCGAUUUCCUUGAAAGUUCUGUUUACUUCGCAUCCGUUGUACGAGCUCCCUCCCUCCCGCAGGUUUCGAUCUCAUACAUAGACUCCCGAUAAGCACACACAUAGAUAAACACUACAUAAAGUGGACAAAAAAGGCCGGCGACCUUCGCGUCUGCCGCACCAAGGCAUAAGGCAUGACCGACAACGCAGCAUGGCGGUCUCGUGUGAUGCACGGCACGUGCCGUUCCUCACCACCACAAGACGCCCACCUGUCCACCCCAGCGGGGGCGGCUGCUCCUCUUGCGCCACAUCCCCCACAGACGCCUCUGCCGUCCGCUGCCGAACCUUCCUCCUAUGUUCCAGCGUCUUCAGCGGCCGCUGCGCCACCCCUACUAGCAUCGUUGCCUAUUGGGGAGAGUGGCGGCAUGACCUCCUUCAACUCACUUGGAGGUGGUGCCGGCGGCCCGGCAGAAGCAGUGACGCGUCUUCAAGAGGUCCUGCGGGACAUCUGCGCGACGGAGCGACGACAGGAGAAGACGUGGCUGAAUGUGCAACCCUGCGUCCUGAACGCGGUGAAGCUGCUCGCUGCAACCGCGCAAAUGUACGCUGAACGAGUGCGGCAGCUGGAAGGUGUGCUGCAGCACCUUCAGCAGUACACGACUGUGCUCGUGCAAGAUCGCGAGGUCAAGGAAGAGCGCUAUCGCCUGGAUGCCGCCGCGCACCGCGAGGAGGCAGACGAGUUGUGGAAGCGCUUGCUCCGUCUCGAGGCCCAGCAACAGGUACCGUCGCUGCAGAUCGAUCAACGAGCGUCGGAGGCGUUCAAGGCAAGUUGCGAGGCAGCUGUGGAAGCUCGAGUAGCCCCGCUUCAGCAGGAGCUGCAGGGCCUCCGGCACCAGCUGAAGGCGCUGGCGCUCUCACACCCAUACUCUUCCCUCUACAACCGUCACGUGCGCUCGAGCAGCGUCGCCUCCAACUCUUCCGCCUUGACGGUGAGGGACGACUAUUACGCUGACGGCGAUGGCGUGGCCGCCUCACAGCGCCGCCACCACUCGGCCGACUCAUCCUCUAGCACCUCCUCUUUGUCAUCGCCCGCAUCUUCGACAGCGUCUUCGCUUGGCCGGCACGAGCAGCGCCAUCGAAGAGGUAGAGUCGCGACGACAAGUGCGCCUACAUUCACCCCGCGUGCACUUGCGCCGGCGACUGCUGCCGCUUCUCCCAGCACGCAGAUGAUGAUGCGCGAGGUCCGGCGGCUGCGGCGACAGUGGCAGCAGUUUCUGCAGUCUGUGCCUGCCGCAUUGGCCCAGGGCAAGGGUCCGUGCGGUGCCGGCCUUCGCCGCCGCGACAUCAGCGGCUCCCCCAGUCGCCGGCUGUCGCGGCUGACAUCAAAAGACGGCCGCCGUGACUUGGCGGGCGGGCUCAAUGACGUGACGAGGGCGAACGGGGAGGGCGUGGGGAGCAUUAAUGGUAAUCCGCCGCAGCCGUUUCGUGUCCCGGCGCAUCAUCCACCCUCUUCACCGACGGAUGCUAUGCUUCCCAAGUAUUCGUCUGGCCCGACGCGUGCGCAUAGUGGCGCGAGAGCCGCCGAGCCCUCUACUGCGCUGCCAGCCUCCGGCCGCCGGGUUCGGUGGUACUGGUUGGGGGAUGCACAUAGCCACUUCUCCACGGCCACCCGCCGCGCAGAAAACGACUUGGCCGCCGCGAAACCGCUCAGCGAGCGACCUCAGCCGGCUCUGAGUGGGGCUAGUCCGGCGCUUCCGUGGACGGAGUGUCACGCCUUUGACGGCCGUACUGACUGCUGGUACAGUCUGGGGACGUGGGCGACCCACCGGCGCCACCUACGAGAGGUGGAGCGGGCAGUGGAGGAGGGUGCGAGCAGGAACAGCGGUGACGUUCGGCUGGGCUGGCUGAAAUGGACGUCGUCUCUCGUCAGCUGGCCCGACACGUCAACGAUGCUCGUGCAUAGGGCCGGCAUCUACAUGGUGCGCGUGUGCCUCGUGCGUCACUGCGCGUCGGCGAGCCUGUGUAGCGGGGCAGGGCGCGCAGAGUCUGUCGGCCGCGACUGCGGCAGCGGUGGUGCGCUGGCGCUCUGUAUGAACGGCGUCGCGGUGGCCGGGCUGCGGGAGGUGGUCACGCACGCGCUUCUCUACACUCACUCCGCCGCCUCUCCUGCCGAGGCUGCCGCACCGUGGUGGGCCACGCGAGGCAGAUCGCGCAGCACCUGUGCUUCUGCAGGCAACUAUUGCUCUGCCGUUGACGGUGUUGCGCACUCACCCGCAUGCGCAUCCCCUGGCGGGUCACCCUCGCGGCGUCGCUUCCACGGUGACAUCGCCGACGCGACUCAGCGCCAGCGGCCCUGCUGCGAACCAGCGCAGCUGCACACGAACACCCUCACUGCCUGCCUCUUCCUGCCGGCGGGUGCGAUGCUGCAGGUGCGCUGCCGCGGGCUGCACAACACCAAAACGAUUCACGAAGCCUUCUGUGAGCUCGAGUACGUGGUGUGAGGUGAUGAUCGGCGCACAGAUAUAUGCACAGAGUUCGCCAUUUUUUUUCCGUUUUUGCCCUCUUCCCCCCAACUACUUCUUGGUACCCGGAGGCACGUGUCUGGGCAUGUCCGCGUGAUGCGUGUGUGUAUGCGUCUGUACUCGUGCGCGGCGCAGACAAGGACAGUAGUUGGGGACAGCGAGAGGGCAGACGACGGAGAAGCCCAACGGACUCGGGAUGCAAAGGGGUGGGUGCACCACCGCGGUUGUCAUAGACGCAAGCAGAGAUAUCCCCUGCAGAAACGCAUGAGACACGCACAACCGUAGAAAUAGCCUCACAAGAAGAGUGCCAUACGUCUGCCUGGUGGCAAAUGCCUACGACGCAGCGUCCGAUCGCAAGAGCAUCACUGAGCGGCCGCAUCAUGCGUCCUGAUCGCCUUGUUCGCGGUUUCUUUCGAGCCUUAUGGUGUGAUGCGAGUCUUUUGCCGCUUUUGUUUCUGUGUAAUUUGCAUGACCCUUGGCGAAGCCAUACACGAAUGCGAUGCAGAGAUGCUUCAAUGCCCCCUCCCCCUCCCACUGUCUACCUUUCUACACCCCAAAUCUUCUCUCCUCUGUCGCCUUCACCCCCUGUGCUGGUGUGUCUCUUCGUACCCGUACUCGUCCCUCUCUCGUCUCUCUCUGAGUGUGCGUGUCUCUGGCGCAUAG
RNAcentral lists this unclassified non-coding RNA (3667 nucleotides) under Leishmania donovani. RNAcentral describes it as "gene:LdHU3.34.1540(CDS-product:hypothetical_prote in_conserved)". Lineage: Eukaryota; Euglenozoa; Kinetoplastea; Trypanosomatida; Trypanosomatidae. The record is from RNAcentral.